AGGGAGGGAGAGCAACUGAAAUAUAGCCUCUUCAUUUAGCAGAGAAGGACAGAGGUGUACUCCUCAGAGCUUCAGCUCAGUGCCGGGAGAAGCACCCACCCCCAAUCUGCAUGUGACUGUUAAUGAUACAAAAUUCACUCUUCAAUGCAUACACAAAUACAAGUCUCCUCCCUAGCUGCUUGGAGUGGGACUCCCUCCAUGUCCUCUCUCAACUUCUGAGUCUUAUAUUCCGGCCCAUCUGUGGCCCACAUGAGGUGACCAAAGGGCCAUGCUCUUCCCUGAGGUCAGCCUGCUUCAGAUCUAUUGGAAACAGUGAAAGAUGGCCACUGCAGGUGUUAGACAGCAUAGUCUGAAUAGAGUCAGUUUAUUUUUUGUCAGCAGUGCUUUAUCUGUUAUAAUUUGCUGUGUGCAUGUUUCCAUGACAACUGAGGGAAAAAAUAAAAUCGUAACCAAAA
Molecule: long non-coding RNA, 455 nt
Organism: Trachemys scripta elegans
Lineage: Eukaryota; Metazoa; Chordata; Testudines; Emydidae
Exons: 3
Source: RefSeq, a predicted model, not a curated record